CGCUGGCGGCACGCCUAACACAUGCAAGUCGAACGAAGUAGCAAUACUUAGUGGCAGACGGGUGAGUAACAUGUGGGUAUCUACCCUUUGGCCUGGAAUAACACGAGGAAACUUGUGCUAAUACCGGAUAAGUCUUUACAGAGAAAGCUUUAUGCACCAUUGGAUGAGCCCGCACUUGAUUAGUUUGUUGGUAGGGUAAUGGCCUACCAAGACUGUGAUCAAUAGCUGAUUUGAGAGGAUGAUCAGCCACAUUGGGACUGAGACACGGCCCAAACUCCUACGGGAGGCAGCAGUGGGGAAUCUUGCACAAUGGAGGAAACUCUGAUGCAGCGAUGCCGCGUGAGUGAAGAAGGCCCUUGGGUUGUAAAGCUCUUUCGUCGGGGAAGAAAAUGACUGUACCCGAAUAAGAAGGUCCGGCUAACUUCGUGCCAGCAGCCGCGGUAAUACGAAGGGACCUAGCGUAGUUCGGAAUUACUGGGCUUAAAGAGUUCGUAGGUGGUUGAAAAAGUUGGUGGUGAAAUCCCAGAGCUUAACUCUGGAACUGCCAUCAAAACUUUUCAGCUAGAGUUUGAUAGAGGAAAGCAGAAUUUCUAGUGUAGAGGUGAAAUUCGUAGAUAUUAGAAAGAAUACCAAUUGCGAAGGCAGCUUUCUGGAUCAUUACUGACACUGAGGAACGAAAGCAUGGGUAGCGAAGAGGAUUAGAUACCCUCGUAGUCCAUGCCGUAAACGAUGUGUGUUAGACGUUGGAAAUUUAUUUUCAGUGUCGCAGCGAAAGCGAUAAACACACCGCCUGGGG
Molecule: ribosomal RNA, 796 nt
Filed under: uncultured Pelagibacteraceae bacterium
Lineage: Bacteria; Pseudomonadati; Pseudomonadota; Alphaproteobacteria; Candidatus Pelagibacterales; Candidatus Pelagibacteraceae
Description: bacterial SSU rRNA
Rfam family: Bacterial small subunit ribosomal RNA
Source: RNAcentral